AAUACAUACAAACUACUUAUUGCAGUACUAUUACUAUGUUUAAGAGUUAGAAUAGCUAGAAUUUUUGAAAUUCAAGGUCUAUAGUAGGGGGUUCAAUAUACAACAGGGGGUCAAAAUACCAUGGCAAAGUAAAAUUUUCAAAAUAUCUUUUCCAUCAUGUUAAAUACAUACAAACUACUUAUUGGAGUACUAUUACUAUGUUUAAGAGUUAGAAUAGCUAGAAUUUUGAAAAUUCAAGGUCUAUAGUAGGGGUUCAAUAUACAACAGGGGGGUCAAAAUACCAUGGCAAAGUAAAAUUUUCAAAAUAUCUUUUCCAUCAUGUUAAAUACAUACAAACUACUUAUUGGAGUACUAUUACUAUGUUUAAGAGUUAGAAUAGCUUGAAUUUUUGAAAUUCAAGGUCUAUAGUAGGGGGUUCAAUAUACCGCAGGGGG
Molecule: long non-coding RNA, 434 nt
Filed under: Mytilus galloprovincialis (Mediterranean mussel)
Lineage: Eukaryota; Metazoa; Mollusca; Bivalvia; Mytilida; Mytilidae
Source: RNAcentral